Molecule: transfer RNA, 71 nt
Filed under: Aseraggodes kaianus (Kai sole)
Lineage: Eukaryota; Metazoa; Chordata; Actinopteri; Pleuronectiformes; Soleidae
Description: tRNA-Gln
Rfam family: tRNA
About the family: Transfer RNA (tRNA) molecules are approximately 80 nucleotides in length.
Source: RNAcentral
UAGGAAGUGGUGUAGUGGAAGCACUAGGAGUUUUGAUCUCCUCGGGUUGGGUUCAAAUCCCAUCUUUCUAA